This 417-nucleotide long non-coding RNA is filed under the name Homo sapiens (human). RNAcentral describes it as "LNC_000614". Lineage: Eukaryota; Metazoa; Chordata; Mammalia; Primates; Hominidae. The record is from RNAcentral.
AAAGCCCUUUGUUUGGGGCUCAGACUUUCUGGACAUAUGUCCAGCUGGGCCAGUGAUGACCUUAAUAGACUCUCCUGAACCUUUUUUGGUCUCUCCAGUCUUUGAUUGUCCUGUAACAUUUCUGGGGGCUUAUCCGGGAUUGGAGAUGGCAGAUUUUCUGUCUUCUUUGCCUGUGGGCUAGAGCCCCAGGAUGUGGGAGAUCUGGGGUCCUUGGCACCGCUGGGAGAGUUUCAGCCUGGAAGGAGAAUGGCCCUCCCGCAUUCCAGAGCCUUCCCCUGACAGCACCAAAGGAACCAGUGGAAAGGGUUGCAGGACAGUCACAGGAGCAGUGCACAGACAUCUGAACCAUGGACCCAGUCUGGUGGAUGCAAGAGUGAAAGUGAGAGUGAAAGCGUGCCAUGAGGGAGGAAACGGGAG